Paramuricea clavata is the source of this 622-nucleotide non-coding RNA. The record is from the annotation of a GenBank genome assembly. NCBI's taxonomy places the organism in Eukaryota, Metazoa, Cnidaria, Anthozoa, Malacalcyonacea, Plexauridae.
UUAUCGCUUCCGCGGUAGCAAGCAAUGCAUAACCUAAACUUUAGCGGCAAUUUAUCAGCCUGAUGAGCUCUGUUUUCUGUGCGAAGGACUGCAUGCAAAAGAUCAAUAACAGUACACCGUUCUGGAUAAAAUAAUGGCAAUGUGCAGGAGCACAAUGCCGAUUUAAUGAUUAACACAAAAAUAUCAAAUUACAAAUAAAUGUUACAAAUUUAGUAUUCAUGCAUAGCACAGAAAAGGUGGGGUGUUAAAAAACGCCCCAUAUACAAAAACCGCCAGUAACGUGUAUCGUAGGAUGCAAAAUGAGGCAAGGGAGGACGGGAGGGAAAGGAAAACUUGUGAGGACUUGAAAACUUGCCUUGUGAAGCCAAAGGUGAAUGACCUUGAGCUGUUAACCCUCAACGUUUUUAUAUAGUAGGCCCAAGAUGCACGUGAAGCGUGACAUGGAAAUUCACUGAUGUGUUGCAAAAUUCCACGGGAAAUAAAACUGGUUGAACGAGUUUCCCUGCCAGGUUCCCUCCAUAACCCCAUUCCGCGUGCUACCCCGAAUCCCUAAAUAUCCCAACAAAAUUCCCACGGAAGCAAUAAAUUGAUUAUUCGCUGAAGCAAAUAACUCCUUUAUGAG